Molecule: transfer RNA, 61 nt
Filed under: Ictidomys tridecemlineatus (thirteen-lined ground squirrel)
Lineage: Eukaryota; Metazoa; Chordata; Mammalia; Rodentia; Sciuridae
Description: Spermophilus tridecemlineatus (thirteen-lined ground squirrel) tRNA
Rfam family: tRNA
About the family: Transfer RNA (tRNA) molecules are approximately 80 nucleotides in length. Their secondary structure includes four short double-helical elements and three loops (D, anti-codon, and T loops).
Source: Rfam by way of RNAcentral
UGUAGCUCAGCAGCAGAGCACUUGCCUAACAUGCAUGAGGUCCAGGGUUCAAUCCCUGGCA